GUUUUUGCCACUGAAUUCAUAUCCAAAGGAGACUUUGUUGUGGAGUACCGAGGUGAACUGCUUACACAACAGGAGGGCGAGGUCCGAGCUGAUCAGUACAAUGAUUCUGCAAAGGUGUUUCUUUUCGAUUUCCAAUGGAAAGGAAGAACAUGGUGCAUUGAUGCAUCUGAAGAAGACUCCUCCCUUGGGAGACUCGUUAAUGAUGAUCACUAAAGACUCAAUCUCAAAAUGAAGGCCAUACAAGCAAACGAUGAGCCACACUUGUGCCUCUUCGCGACUCGAGAUAUUGCAGCUGGCGAAGAGUUGACUUAUAGUUACGGUGAUUCAGACUGGCCAUGGAGAACACAGGUCAUCAAAACUGAAUUGUCGUCCAGCCCAAAACCUGGUAAGAACUUUACUAAAGUCAUAGAUCAAUAUGAGUUAAUUUUUUUCUAUUAUCACAUUUACUAUUUCACUUUCACAAAUACACAUUUAUAGUCUAACAUCAAUUGCACUGGAAU
This is a long non-coding RNA of Salvelinus fontinalis (brook trout), 500 nucleotides long. RefSeq lists it as uncharacterized. NCBI's taxonomy places the organism in Eukaryota, Metazoa, Chordata, Actinopteri, Salmoniformes, Salmonidae. The transcript is spliced from 3 exons. The record is from RefSeq and is a predicted model, not a curated record.